This 274-nucleotide ribosomal RNA is filed under the name uncultured bacterium. Its description in RNAcentral is "partial 16S ribosomal RNA". It matches the Rfam family "Bacterial small subunit ribosomal RNA", at positions 524 to 796 of the family's 1533-position model. The record is from RNAcentral.
GACGUAGGGGGCGAGCGUUGUCCGGAUUUAUUGGGCGUAAAGAGCUCGUAGGCGGCUUGGCAAGUCGGAUGUGAAACCUCCAGGCUUAACCUGGAGACGCCAUUCGAUACUGCUAUGGCUUGAGUCCGGUAGGGGCGCAUGGAAUACCCGGUGUAGCGGUGAAAUGCUUAGAUAUCGGGUGGAACACCAGUGGCGAAGGCGGUGCGCUGGGCCGGAACUGACGCUGAGGAGCGAAAGCGUGGGUAGCAAACAGGAUUAGAAACCCGCGUAGUCC